RNAcentral lists this transfer RNA (74 nucleotides) under Chloroflexota bacterium. RNAcentral's name for it is "Chloroflexi bacterium (groundwater metagenome) tRNA-Ile". It matches the Rfam family "tRNA". From Rfam's summary of the family: Transfer RNA (tRNA) molecules are approximately 80 nucleotides in length. Their secondary structure includes four short double-helical elements and three loops (D, anti-codon, and T loops). Further hydrogen bonds mediate the characteristic L-shaped molecular structure. tRNAs have two regions of fundamental functional importance: the anti-codon, which is responsible for specific mRNA codon recognition, and the 3' end, to which the tRNAs corresponding amino acid is attached (by aminoacyl-tRNA synthetases). tRNAs cope with the degeneracy of the genetic code in two manners: having more than one tRNA (with a specific anti-codon) for a particular amino acid; and 'wobble' base-pairing, i.e. permitting non-standard base-pairing at the 3rd anti-codon position. The record is from RNAcentral. Lineage: Bacteria; Bacillati; Chloroflexota. RNAcentral also lists the same sequence under 1 other name.
GGGCUUGUAGCUCAGCUGGUUAGAGCACAGUCCUGAUAAGACUGGGGUCACAGGUUCGAGUCCUGUCAAGCCCA